GAUGAACGCUGACAGAAUGCUUAACACAUGCAAGUCAACUUGAAUUUGGGUUUUUAACUUAGAUUUGGGUGGCGGACGGGUGAGUAACGCGUAAAGAACUUGCCUCACAGCUAGGGACAACAUUUAGAAAUGAAUGCUAAUACCUGAUAUUAUGAUUUUAAGGCAUCUUAGAAUUAUGAAAGCUAUAAGCACUGUGAGAGAGCUUUGCGUCCCAUUAGCUAGUUGGAGAGGUAACAGCUCACCAAGGCGAUGAUGGGUAGCCGGCCUGAGAGGGUGAACGGCCACAAGGGGACUGAGACACGGCCCUUACUCCUACGGGAGGCAGCAGUGGGGAAUAUUGGACAAUGGACCGAGAGUCUGAUCCAGCAAUUCUGUGUGCACGAUGAAGUUUUUCGGAAUGUAAAGUGCUUUCAGUUGGGAAGAAAGAAAUGACGGUACCAACAGAAGAAGUGACGGCUAAAUACGUGCCAGCAGCCGCGGUAAUACGUAUGUCGCAAGCGUUAUCCGGAAUUAUUGGGCAUAAAGGGCAUCUAGGCGGCCAGAUAAGUCUGGGGUGAAAACUUGCGGCUCAACCGCAAGCCUGCCCUGGAAACUAUGUGGCUAGAGUACUGGAGAGGUGGACGGAACUGCACGAGUAGAGGUGAAAUUCGUAGAUAUGUGCAGGAAUGCCGAUGAUGAAGAUAGUUCACUGGACGGUAACUGACGCUGAAGUGCGAAAGCUAGGGGAGCAAACAGG
This 736-nucleotide ribosomal RNA is filed under the name uncultured Fusobacterium sp. RNAcentral describes it as "partial 16S ribosomal RNA". It matches the Rfam family "Bacterial small subunit ribosomal RNA", at positions 28 to 776 of the family's 1533-position model. The record is from RNAcentral. Lineage: Bacteria; Fusobacteriati; Fusobacteriota; Fusobacteriia; Fusobacteriales; Fusobacteriaceae.